UAGCAAUAUCCUAUAUUGCCACGAGAUAUGGUCGUUGCGAUAAGAGUCUUUGCUAUUUUCUUAAAGGAUAUCGAAACGUGGUGUGUAUCAUUGUAAUAGCUACAUGUAGCAUCAGUUAAUUGUUAUGGCAGUAUGCGCAAUGGUCAUUGCAAUACUAAAUUCACACCGAAUUACAAAUGUUGAUUCUGUGAUUAUUGCAACGAUGUUGAUUCUUUAAUGUAAUGACAUUUUCAAAAAAAAGAAAUUGAUAUAUAUAUAUAUAUAUUAUUAAUGACAUCAAUCCAUCAUUCACUCCCAGCAUUCAUGAUACAAAUGAUGCAACAAAAUAUUCAACAUAUGAAAGUAAGAACUUGUCCUUUCAUCCAUCACUCCCAAUACUAAAAUAUCUACAAAACCUAUAUAUUAUUCAUACGCAUCUAAAAUCUUGAUCACUC
This 434-nucleotide long non-coding RNA is filed under the name Setaria viridis. RNAcentral describes it as "long non-coding RNA (SVIR_LNC004126)". Lineage: Eukaryota; Viridiplantae; Streptophyta; Magnoliopsida; Poales; Poaceae. The record is from RNAcentral.